Non-coding RNA from Gossypium raimondii (Peruvian cotton), 107 nucleotides. The record is from Rfam. NCBI's taxonomy places the organism in Eukaryota, Viridiplantae, Streptophyta, Magnoliopsida, Malvales, Malvaceae.
AACCCAUGGUGAGGACACUGUCUCAAUAAGUCCUUAUACCUCUCCCAUGCAUCAUAUAAAGUCUCUAAAUCAAUUUGAAUGAAGGAAGAGAUAUUAUUCCUUAACUU